This 253-nucleotide ribosomal RNA is filed under the name uncultured bacterium. RNAcentral's name for it is "partial 16S ribosomal RNA". It matches the Rfam family "Bacterial small subunit ribosomal RNA", at positions 524 to 776 of the family's 1533-position model. The record is from RNAcentral.
UACGGAGGGUGCAAGCGUUAUCCGGAUUCACUGGGUUUAAAGGGUGCGUAGGCGGGCAGGUAAGUCAGUGGUGAAAUCUCCAAGCUUAAGUUGGAAACUGGCGUUGAUACUAUCUGUCUUGAAUGUUGUGGAGGUGAGCGGAAUAUGUCAUGUAGCGGUGAAAUGCUGAGAUAUGACAUAGAACACCAAUUGCGAAGGCAGCUCACAACACAAAUAUCGACGCUGAGGCACGAAAGCGUGGGGAUCAAACAGG